CCCCGGGGCCGAUCCAGUUCAGGGAGGUCAGAAAGGCAGCUCGGAACGCGCCCAACCGGGACUGGAAACGUGUGAAACUCUCGGUUCAGCCCGAUUCCGCCUCGUCCAGGCAGCUUGUCUUGGGGGCACCCUAACCUCUCCGAACCUCAGUUUCCCCAUCUUGGGGUCACUGAAGCCGGAAGUUGUAGAAGCACCUAGGAAGCUACGGGGUCCUGCAUCCGGACCAGUUUCCGGCUUUGCGCUCCCCCGUCCGGCGAAUAACCCGGGUGUUUGCAGAAUUAAUGAGUUGCACAGGAGGCUCAGCGCGGGGGCCCUGACUUGGAGAGCCCGGGUGCAGCGACAGGGACCCAGUCCUGAAGCGCAGGGCGCACCGCCUGGGAUUAGAGGUCGACACUGGCCUUCUCCCAGGCUGCCAAGUCGUUUGAAGGCUGCACAAACAUUCUUCCUCUCUCGCGUCCCCGGGAAUCAGGGUCUACACCCGCGAGGGCAGGCGGAGGCGGUUACCCCGAGAGUUCCGCUUCAGCAGACGCCUUCCGAUUGAUGGUUGAAUUCGGCCAGUUCGCCACUUGAGACCUGCCCGUUUCUGGAUUUUAAUGGCCUUUUUUCCCAGGCAGAGGUGAAAGAAACCCGGGAAGCCUCCUGGAAAUCCCAUUGACUUGGCAGAAAGAAGAGCUGGACGAUGACUAGAAGGUUCCAGAAGACAUCAUGGGGAGACAUCUCAGGAAGGAAAAGUGAAUUAUCCACAGGAAUUCAGGGGCGGUGCUCCCCAUCGAAGGCUGGCAUCAGGAAAGACUCUGAGGUCAGAUCCAGACACGGGAUUGGAGGUGCUGAUAAACUCUGCUGCGGCACAGAC
Long non-coding RNA from Bos taurus (domestic cattle), 853 nucleotides. NCBI's taxonomy places the organism in Eukaryota, Metazoa, Chordata, Mammalia, Artiodactyla, Bovidae. The record is from Ensembl.